GAUGAACGCUGGCGGCGUGCCUAAUACAUGCAAGUCGAGCGAACGGACGAGACGCUUGCUUCUCUGAUGUUAGCGGCGGACGGGUGAGUAACACGUGGAUAACCUACCUAUAAGACUGGGAUAACUUCGGGAAACCGGAGCUAAUACCGGAUAAUAUUUUGAACCGCAUGGUUCAAAAGUGAAAGACGGUCUUGCUGUCACUUAUAGAUGGAUCCGCGCUGCAUUAGCUAGUUGGUAAGGUAACGGCUUACCAAGGCAACGAUGCAUAGCCGACCUGCGAGGGUGAUCGGCCACACUGGAACUGAGACACGGUCCAGACUCCUAAGGGAGGCAGCAGUAGGGAAUCUUACGCAAUGGGCGAAAGCCUUACGGAGCAAGCCCGCGUGAGUGAUGAAGGUCUUCGGAUCGUAAAACUCUGUUAUUAGGGAAGAACAUAUGUGUAAGUAACUGUGCACAUCUUGACGGUACCUAAUCAGAAAGCCACGGCUAACUACGUG
Molecule: ribosomal RNA, 497 nt
Filed under: uncultured bacterium
Lineage: Bacteria
Description: partial 16S ribosomal RNA
Rfam family: Bacterial small subunit ribosomal RNA
Source: RNAcentral